This is a long non-coding RNA of Mya arenaria, 943 nucleotides long. RefSeq lists it as uncharacterized. NCBI's taxonomy places the organism in Eukaryota, Metazoa, Mollusca, Bivalvia, Myida, Myidae. The record is from RefSeq and is a predicted model, not a curated record. The transcript is spliced from 4 exons.
GCAGGUGCGUGUUUACACAAUUACGUCAUUGAUAUCUGUGUAAAACACAUGAGUACACCACAGCGAACAAAAUUGCUGGUUUGUAAAACCUUGGAAGAGGCUUUAAGGAAAAUCCAGGAGCUGGAAAUGCAAGAUAAUUUGUGCCUGACUCUAGUACGAAGAAUUUUGGGAAGACGAUUUGGCCUAAAAAGACCUGUAGCAGUUAACAAGCUAUUAGAUGCACAAAUGCACAAAAUGACCACCACCACUAUCACCCUAAAGUGUGUGCUUGGUGUCUGUCUACACGUGCUUGCUUCUGGAAUGUUGAAGAACAAACUGUGUUGAAACGCCAACUGGAGUUGGUCAUGGACCUUUGCCACCCUUCAUCCAGAGCCUUCCACAGAGAUGGCAGAUAUAUCGCUGCCUGGACCAACAGUUGACCAUGCCGUUGAGUCCAUGAAAACAUCUACAGAAUUACAUCUGCGGCCGUGGCUAUUAAUGGAUACAUUCUGCACCACUUCCAUGUGCUGUCAGUUUGAAACGUCUCUACUCUGACAGAAGGAAGGGAAUGAAUACCCAGGAUUGUUCCUCAGGAAAAUCUCUUCAACAGGCUGUUGUCAGUUUGCAUGCUCUUUGGAUGGAAUUACCCUACCUUGGCUUGCAGAGAAUCUGUGAUAUAAAAGACCUCUUUUGUGCUGCAUUGUGUCAUUGAUUUAUUGUAUUUUAUAUGUAUUAUGCCACUAUUGUAAAAACAAAUGGGCAUAUGUUUUAGCAUAUGUUUUCAAGCAGACACAUUUAUAUUUCAAACAGACACAUUUAUAUUUUUGAAUAAUUUGAAAAUACAUUUUGUAGGUUGACUUCACACCAUGAAACAUUAAUGGUAGGUUAUAUUUGACCAGAACAUGACAAGUAUUGUUUUCGGAGUUUUUUGGUCGAAGGUGAAGGUAAUGGCUAACAGUGGUUA